RNAcentral lists this ribosomal RNA (298 nucleotides) under uncultured eukaryote. Its description in RNAcentral is "partial 18S ribosomal RNA". It matches the Rfam family "Eukaryotic small subunit ribosomal RNA", at positions 1470 to 1796 of the family's 1831-position model. The record is from RNAcentral.
CCCUUAGACACUCUAGGCGGCACGCGCGCUACAAUGGGUGGAAGAACGUGUUACUGCCUCCGAAAGGAGGGGUGAAUCACGAAUUCUUGCCCGUGAAUGGGAUAGUUUGUUGCAAUUUUCGGACUUGAACUAGGAAUCCCUUGUAAACAUGCUCAAGAAUAGCGUGUUGAAUACGUCCCUGCCGUUUGUACACACCGCCCGUCGUUUCUUCCGACUGAUACUCAUUGUGAGUUGCAAGGACCCUUUAUUGGGAAAUUGCUGCAAAUGCUUUGUAUUGGAGGAGGAAAAAGUCGUAACA